Molecule: ribosomal RNA, 894 nt
Filed under: Trichothecium roseum
Lineage: Eukaryota; Fungi; Ascomycota; Sordariomycetes; Hypocreales
Description: LSU rRNA
Rfam family: Eukaryotic large subunit ribosomal RNA
Source: RNAcentral
GCAUAUCAAUAAGCGGAGGAAAAGAAACCAACAGGGAUUGCCCUAGUAACGGCGAGUGAAGCGGCAACAGCUCAAAUUUGAAAGCUGGCUCUCGGGCCCGCAUUGUAAUUUGCAGAGGAUGCUUCUGGCGACGCGCCUUCCGAGUUCCCUGGAACGGGACGCCAUAGAGGGUGAGAGCCCCGUCCGGUCGUGCGCCUAGCCUCUGUGAAGCUCCUUCGACGAGUCGAGUAGUUUGGGAAUGCUGCUCAAAAUGGGAGGUAUACGUCUUCUAAAGCUAAAUACCGGCCAGAGACCGAUAGCGCACAAGUAGAGUGAUCGAAAGAUGAAAAGCACUUUGAAAAGAGAGUUAAAAAGUACGUGAAAUUGUUGAAAGGGAAGCGCUCAUGACCAGACUUGGGCUGGCCCGAUCAUCCGGCGUUCUCGCCGGUGCACUCGGGCCGCCCAGGCCAGCAUCAGCUUUCGCCGGGGGAUAAAGGCGGCGGGAAUGUGGCUCCCUCGGGAGUGUUAUAGCCCGCCGUGCAAUACCCUGGUGGGGGCUGAGGUUCGCGCGUAUGCACGGAUGCUGGCGUAAUGGUUAUCAGCGACCCGUCUUGAAACACGGACCAAGGAGUCGUCUUCGUAUGCGAGUGUUCGGGUGUCAAACCCCUACGCGGAAUGAAAGUGAACGCUGGUGAGAGCUUCGGCGCAUCACCGACCGAUCCUGAUGUUCUCGGACGGAUUUGAGUAAGAGCAUACGGGGCCGGACCCGAAAGAAGGUGAACUAUGCCUGUAUAGGGUGAAGCCAGAGGAAACUCUGGUGGAGGCUCGCAGCGGUUCUGACGUGCAAAUCGAUCGUCAAAUAUGGGCAUGGGGGCGAAAGACUAAUCGAACCUUCUAGUAGCUGGUUUCCGCCGA